This 497-nucleotide ribosomal RNA is filed under the name uncultured bacterium. RNAcentral describes it as "partial 16S ribosomal RNA". It matches the Rfam family "Bacterial small subunit ribosomal RNA", at positions 28 to 507 of the family's 1533-position model. The record is from RNAcentral.
GAUGAACGCUGGCGGCGUGCCUAAUACAUGCAAGUCGAGCGAACGGACGAGAAGCUUGCUUCUCUGAUGUUAGCGGCGGACGGGUGAGUAACACGUGGAUAACCUACCUAUAAGACUGGGAUAACUUCGGGAAACCGGAGCUAAUACCGGAUAAUAUUUUGAACCGCAUGGUUCAAAAGUGAAAGACGGUCUUGCUGUCACUUAUAGAUGGAUCCGCGCUGCAUUAGCUAGUUGGUAAGGUAACGGCUUACCAAGGCAACGAUGCAUAGCCGACCUGAGAGCGUGGACGGACACCCUGGAACUGAGACACGGUACAGACUCCUACGGGAGGAAGCAGUAGGGAAUCUUCCGCGAUGGGCGAGAGCCUGACGGAGCAACGCCGCGUGAGUGAUGAAGGUCUUCGGAUCGUAAAACUCUGUUAUUAGGGAAGAACAUAUGUGUAAGUAACUGUGCACAUCUUGACGGUACCUAAUCAGAAAGCCACGGCUAACUACGUG